This is a long non-coding RNA of Drosophila kikkawai, 450 nucleotides long. RefSeq lists it as uncharacterized. Lineage: Eukaryota; Metazoa; Arthropoda; Insecta; Diptera; Drosophilidae. The record is from RefSeq and is a predicted model, not a curated record.
CCAUCAACAAACGCCAAUCUACCGGCUGCCAAAGAUUGCCGUGUCGGCAAGGUCACGCUUAUUUUCUUCGACUACACGGCGAGAAAUCGCUAGGUCGAUUGAGCAGAAAAAAUACAAGAAAAGGAAGCACUGGAUAAACGAGGCAGCAGAGCAGAUUGGUUACGCUAUUCAGCGCCGGCCAAAAACAGGCGGCUGGAACAGCUAUCUCUGCUGGGGAAAAUUUAUUUGGAGUUCGCAGCAGCUUGGAGCAGAGAAAAACCCACAAAAAGUGACCCAAAAAUAAACGUGUGAAACACAGUGCAGAUUUAAAAAAAUUAAAAAUUAAAAACCCUUAAAAUCUAGUGACAAAUUAAAAGUUAACGAAGACGAGGAAAUGGGUUAAAACAACUCAUUAAAUACACGACUAGUAAAAAUGUAAAAUCUUAAGAAAAAACCCGACCUCAAAACAGA